UACGGGGGGGGCAAGCGUUGUUCGGAAUUACUGGGCGUAAAGGGCGCGUAGGCGGCCUUCUAAGUCGAACGUGAAAUCCCCGGGCUCAACCCGGGAACUGCGUCCGAGACUGAAAGGCUUGAAUCCGGGAGAGGGAUGUGGAAUUCCAGGUGUAGCGGUGAAAUGCGUAGAUAUCUGGAGGAACAUCGGUGGCGAAGGCGGCAUCCUGGACCGGUAUUGACGCUGAGGCGCGAAAGCUAGGGGAGCGAACGGG
This 253-nucleotide ribosomal RNA is filed under the name uncultured bacterium. RNAcentral describes it as "partial 16S ribosomal RNA". It matches the Rfam family "Bacterial small subunit ribosomal RNA", at positions 524 to 776 of the family's 1533-position model. The record is from RNAcentral.